Molecule: ribosomal RNA, 497 nt
Filed under: uncultured bacterium
Lineage: Bacteria
Description: partial 16S ribosomal RNA
Rfam family: Bacterial small subunit ribosomal RNA
Source: RNAcentral
GAUGAACGCUGGCGGCGUGCCUAAUACAUGCAAGUCGAGCGAACAGACGAGGAGCUUGCUCCUCUGACGUUGGCGGCGGACGGGUGAGUAACACGUGGAUAACCUACCUAUAAGACUGGGAUAACUUCGGGAAACCGGAGCUAAUACCGGAUAAUAUAUUGAACCGCAUGGUUCAAUAGUGAAAGACGGUUUUGCUGUCACUUAUAGAUGGAUCCGCGCCGCAUUAGCUAGUUGGUAAGGUAACGGCUUACCAAGGCAACGAUGCGUAGCCGACCUGAGAGCGUGAUCGGCCACACUGGAACUGAGACACGGUCCAGACUCCUACGGGAGGCAGCAGUAGGGAAUCUUCCGCAAUGGGCGAAAGCCUGACGGAGCAACGCCGCGUGAGUGAUGAAGGUCUUCGGAUCGUAAAACUCUGUUAUUAGGGAAGAACAAAUGUGUAAGUAACUAUGCACGUCUUGACGGUACCUAAUCAGAAAGCCACGGCUAACUACGUG